GACGAGGGAUCCUAGCGUUGUUCGGAAUUACUGGGCGUAAAGCGCACGUAGGCGGAUAUUUAAGUCAGGGGUGAAAUCCCAGAGCUCAACUCUGGAACUGCCUUUGAUACUGGGUAUCUUGAGUAUGGAAGAGGUAAGUGGAAUUCCGAGUGUAGAGGUGAAAUUCGUAGAUAUUCGGAGGAACACCAGUGGCGAAGGCGGCUUACUGGUCCAUUACUGACGCUGAGGUGCGAAAGCGUGGGGAGCAAACAGG
RNAcentral lists this ribosomal RNA (253 nucleotides) under uncultured bacterium. RNAcentral describes it as "partial 16S ribosomal RNA". It matches the Rfam family "Bacterial small subunit ribosomal RNA", at positions 524 to 776 of the family's 1533-position model. The record is from RNAcentral.